ACUUGCUUGUCCCUAUCUACAGUUCUUCAGAGCUUCCAGCAAUGGAUGGAGAUGAAGCAGAGAGUUACUCCAUCAAAACAAGUUGGAGAACAAACAAAAUGUCAUCAAGAUUCGUAAUGGUGAGAAAAGCUUCAGGAGAUUCAAAAAGGGAAAUGGCUGGCCCUGGCCUAAUCCAAAGAGUUGCUAAAAGAUUGUUCAGGUGCCUUUUGAUUAUGAAAAAAGAUUUCCAGGAACAAUAAACACUGCUAUGCUUAUAGAUCUGAUAAGGAAAACUGGUAUUAGGUGGAUCCAAUUCUGAUCAUGAUCUUACAAAGAUAAUUUUUCCUACCCUGCAGUCAGCAGUGCAAAUUGAAAGAGCUGAGGGGAGAAUGUGUUUUUAACUUGCACUGAGACUACCAAAGUCUCUUCCCAACCUGGUGUCCUCCAAUUGAGAGGAUAGAGGGAACCAAGCACCAUAAUGCCCAUCUUUCCCCAGAUAUCAAGGUCACUAACAAAAGGACCACUAAUUCUCAUCUUGUGGAAAUGCACUAGGGAACAGAGCCUGUUCCAUCAUGGACAUCAACAAAGAAAUGGCAGAUGGCCACAUCAGAUUUUUCUCUCUGGAUCUCUGACAUCCACCCACUCCCAAUUGUACCCCAAUUUUAUUCAAGGAGAGCACAAAUUUAAUGCUACAGUGAAGUCAAGGAGUCAAAAUCACUAUUUCAGGGAGCAAAUUUUUUCAGACAAUGCCAAUAAAUUUUUGUAGUGGAAGACUGGCAGGUGUGCCAAGUGAGGCCAAAGUCCCAAUUGGAAGAAAAGCAGGAUGCCUGUCUUCAAUUGUUCCUUCCAUGAUACCAUGUGCAGAGAAAAUACAUGGUAUUAAAAGGGCCUAGGAAAGACCUUUCCAAAUUAAGAUUGCACCGACAUUUAAAGUUCAGCUUCAUACUCCUGUCAUCUCUCAAAAAAUAACAUCCAGCAUGCAAGAGAAAAUACAAUGGAGAUUUAAAACAAGCCAAGCCAGGUUGACAAAUGAGUCUCAUGUUUCAGCCUUUGACAUUACAGAAUUAGCAGAUUGGCAAGCAAAUAAAGAUGACUGCAGUCCUCCAGAGAAAACCUAAAUCCCCCACCUAUUAAAUUAUCACAAAUGCUGGUGUCCAACCAUUACUCCAGCACAGCUCCAGUACUUGCAGCUUCUAAACUGAGCAUCAUGUGAUUAGAAGGAUUUUUGAAAAUUUAUUCUAAUCACCUGGGUAACAGUUACAGACUUGCUGGCAGUUAAAAGUUCACAGUGCUGCUAUAACAGUUUGGGAAUUUGAAAGGGAUUGUCUCAAAACAUCUGGAGAUCACUAGAAUGGGAAAUGUUGAAGUCACUGAAUUCACACAAGAAAUCGGAUAAAAGGCUAUAAUGCGAGGAUUCCUUAAUUUGACACUGGGCUAAUUAAAACUUUUUUUAAAAAAUAUAUUUUUUAAAAAAAUCAGGACAAUUUCCUUUUUAUGGUUAUGAAAGUAGGAGUUGGAAGAGAAUUUAAAAUGACCUUCCCAUAGCAGGGAUUGUGAUUUUUGUAUGAAUUUGCCACAUUGAAGACUUGUGGAUACAGAUUAACUUGAUUCUGAGGAAAAGUGGAAAAAUAGUUCAAUGCAAGCUUGCAAGCAAAGUGAGGCAUACUUUAAAACAAGAAAACACCAACCUAAUUUUAUAUGCAUACAUCAGUAGGAUUCAGGUGGUGGCGUCUUGCCAGGAAUCAACUUUUGCAUUGUGAUAGUCCUUAGGAAUGGGCUUAACCCAAGCUAUCAAGUUUGCAGAAAUCCGCAUCAUUGUACAAAUCGUAUAAGAUAUGAUAUACUUGCCCAACUCAUCCCGAUUAGCUUUUCAGUUUCUACUUGCUCGUUCGAUUUUUCUCUUUAGGGAUUCUGUUCAAACAGCGAAGCUUGCAAAGUCCAUGCUUUUUUUAAAAUGUGUCAAUGACGUUUAAUUUCAGCCCAUGACUCUUUUGUGGACCUGUAACGCCUGGAAAAUAGGUUUGUGCGAUGGAAGUCGGGAUGAUGGGCGAGUCAAAAUGUAAAUACUUUUGCAGUAUUUACAAGGAGGUUAAGUGCGGGCGGCUACGGUUGCAAAAUCAUUAAUGGCAACGAGGAGUCGGUGAGUGGUUGGCUGCAUUGUGGACACGAGAGGGCAGUAGUCAAAUGUUUAUGCUUUCUGACGGUUUAGGAAGGGCUGUAGGUGGAGAAUAGGGCAUUUUAAGUCGGAGAAACCCGGCGCAGGAAAGGGACGCCAUUCUUUCUCCUUUCAAGGACUGGUGUAAGACUAAGUUGACGGGCAGCCGGAGAGCAAAAGAGGAGCAACAAAGGGCGGAUUAAAACAGCUGAGCCGUAUGCAGGUGCUUCACGAUGCAUUCCGCUACGCUUUCCUCAAAAGACGAGUCGGGCCUGCUUUUUUUUUUUUUUUUUUUUUUUGAGGCGGGCGCGUUUCAAUAAAAUGAACCAAUUUUAUUUUGGGAGUAAUCGGCAGCGUAGAAAUUGAAUAAGCUGUAAGAGCUAAAGUUAACGGUCUGUCAAAGCCCGCAGUUAAAGUGGCCGGUUUAUGUGGCUGCAGAGCAAAGAGAGCGACAGUUCUGAAAGCGAGAAAGGCUUUCCUAAACCUUCUUCCCAAGGUGGAGUAAGCACGUUUUAGAACGAUGCCCAGGUUUCGGAGUGCUGAAAAAAGCCCGGACGACGGCUAGAUGGCAGCAAAGCUAGGGAUAGUCCGGAAGUUUGCAGCCCGGAAAUGGUUGGGGGGGGGGGAAAGGUUGUGUGUUUUCUUUUUUUGCAGAAUUGACUGUCCUCCGCCCUAGAUGGCCCAGGCAGGUCUGCAUUUGCUCCCAUGUCAAUUCCUAGGCAAGAGAAUUCGACGCGCUUACUCAUAUUUAAAGCCCAAGAUAAAGGAAAGCAAAAGGCUACUGAGGAACAUAACACUAUGUGGCAAAGUGAAAAUGAGGAAUGUUGUGCUGCUGUUUCUCUUGGGAGCUUUUGGACUUUACUGGAUCCAGUACAAGUCCAGUCCCAAACCUGUCAGGACCUCUAUUGUCCAUCUUUUUGAAUGGCGAUGGGUUGACAUUGCUCUUGAAUGUGAAAGGUACUUAACCCAACAUGGAUUUGCAGGUGUUCAGGUUUCUCCUCCAAAUGAAAACCUUGUAAUUAUGAAUCCUUGGAGACCAUGGUGGGAGAGAUACCAGCCAGUUAGUUAUAAGUUAUGUUCACGCUCUGGAAAUGAAAGCGAGUUCAGAGAUAUGGUGACUAGAUGCAACAAUGUUGGAGUCCAUAUUUACGUGGAUGCUGUAUUCAACCAUAUGCUCAAUUCAGCAGCUGGAUCCGGUAACCAUGGAAUCUGUAAGAGCUAUUUCAAUGCAGAACGCCACGAUUUUCCUUCUGUCCCGUAUUCGAGAUUUGAUUUUAAUGAUCCAAUAUGUAAAACACCCAGUGGGGAUAUUGAAAACUACAGUGAUCCUAUUCAGGUUCGUUACUGUCGACUUUAUGGGCUCCUUGACCUUUCCCAGUGGAAAGACGAGGUGCGUUCAAAAAUAAUAGACUUCUUGAACCACCUGAUUGACCUUGGCGUUGCAGGGUUCCGAAUUGAUGCUGCUAAGCACAUAAGGCCCGAGGACAUCAAUGUUAUUUUAAGCAAACUAAAUAACCUCAAUGCCCGAUGGUUCACCAAAGGUUCACGACCUUUCAUCUAUCAAGAGGUAAUUGAUUUGGGUGGUGAAGCUGUCCAAAGCUCUGAAUACUUCAGAAAUGGCCGAGUGACUGAAUUUAAAUAUGGCAUGCAGCUGGGGAUUGUCCUUCGGAAAUGGAAUGGACAAAAGAUGGCAAAUUUGAAGAGCUGGGGAGAAAGCUGGCAUAUGAUGCCAUCUGAUAAAGCCUUCGUCUUUGUUGAUAAUCAUGACAACCAAAGGGGACAUGGAAGUGGUGGGUCCUCCAUUCUCACUUUUUGGAACCCUAGACUUUAUAAGAUGGCAGUAGGGUUUAUGCUUGCUCAUCCCUAUGGAUUCACACGAAUCAUGUCAAGCUACUGGUGGCCUAGAGAUAUCCAGAAUGGAACGGACUUGAAAGAUUGGGUUGGACCACCAAGCAAUAGUGAUGGAUCCAUUAAACCUGUGACAAUUUAUGCAAAUGAAACUUGUGGCAAUGGCUGGAUCUGUGAGCACCGUUGGGAUGAAAUUCGGAACAUGGUGAUAUUCCGAAAUGUUGUCUAUGGGGAGCCAAUUACAAACUGGUGGGACAACAAUAACAAUCAGGCAGCAUUUGGACGUGCUGGCAAAGGAUUUGUUGUGUUUAACAAUGAUGACAGGAACUUGUCGGUAGUCCUUCCAACUGGUCUUCCUGCUGGGGUUUAUUGUGAUGUCAUUUCAGGACAAAAAGAAGGCAACACUUGCACAGGAAUUCAAAUCCAUGUUGCUGCUAAUGGCAUGGCUCGUUUUCAGAUUAAUUACCAAGCAAAGCAUCCGUUCAUUGCAAUUCAUGUUGAAGCCAGACUGUAAUAUAUACUGAUGAACAUUUCUCCUAUUUGAUUGGUUUCUGUUCUCUGUGUAUUAUAAAGUUGAUUUUAUUUAUUACUUGUAUAGGCUGACUCCAUCAUAACUCAUGAUGGUGUACAGUGUAAGACAACUUACAGCAAUACAAUUCAAAACAAUACCAAAAACAUGUGGAAUAAAAUAAUAUAAACUUUAACAGACAGUUAUCCUACAAGGAAUCCUUUUCCAUCCCAUUCUAAACCAAGGCCUGGAAUGGUCAGUGAAGUCCAUAUGAGUAUCUGGGGGAGAGUAUAAUUCCAAAGAAUGAACAGUGCAACUGAGAAGGUUUGCUUCCUGAGUCCUACCAGGUGACAUUGCCUGAUUAUAUGGGAUGAAUAGAAACUUCGGAAGAUAGAUGGCCCCCAAACAAUUAGGCCCUUUGCCAUGAAGGGCUUUAUAAAUACCUUGAAGAGCAGCCUGAAGCUUACUGGUGCCCUGCAGAGUCAUUCCAACAUUGGACCUCAAUUCUUGCUAGCUGGGUGCUCUUGGAAAACCCUUCAAACAAAGUAUGAAGAUGGUAACUCCACCUCAGUGUUUGUCUCCCAACAAGCAAUUUUUAUGAGAAUAACCUCUCUGAACAGAAUGCUCAAAUUUUUACCUCUUGCAACUUGCAACUUUUGGACUUUAAAAUGGACUUGACUAAUAUUUGUGGAAACUAUUUGGAAGCUUUGGAGGGCUGAUGAAAAACCCUUAACAACCUGAUAAAGAGUUUUUGUCACUUCUCUGGGACAUGAAAGCUGCUUUUGCUAAUCAGUGGGUAUCAAUGGAAAAAGGAUCAAAAAGCAGGAAAUGAUUAUUUCCUAUCAGCUUCUGAUAAUUGCUUUUUCCCCCCUUUUCCCAGAUAAUAGCGUUUCUUGCCCAAACCAAGUUUUGUAUCACAAAUUUAAGGAAAUUGUGUUUUUUUUAAAUGAAAUAUAUCCCCAUACGGCCUUCUAUACAAAGAGGAUCAAAUGGUCUUCUAAUACCGAAAGAAAGUUCCACUCCUUUUUAUCAUCUCCGGAAUGUUUCAGGUUCUAACAAGUAGUGGCUCAGAGACAAUCUUGGCCUUUGAAUCACUAAUUAAUAGUGUUCAAAGGGGGCUAGGAGCUGAUUGUAGGCCAUGGGGUCCAUAUCAUUUAAGAAGCAAUUCCUGGUUUGGUAAAGAAUGUCUGAUGCUUAGGAACCAGAUUAACUGGACUUACUUGCUUUACCGUAACAGAGGGGACAAACGUCCACCAGAGGACUAUUAUCACCUGAAGUGGGAGUAUAAAGGGCUAAUUGUUAAGAAAAAGAGGGCUAAAGUGAGAGAGAAGUGGGAUUUACUUUUCUAUCCAGCAGAAGAACACCGGACUAUUUUGGCAAAUUGUUGCCAGCUCUCUCCCUGGUUACCAAGAACUCCCUCUCUGCUUUAUUUCUGACAGAGAUUGGGAAAAUCAUUGUUUGUCAAUUUUUCAGACUUCAAUAAUUUCGACCGAGCUUGGAUCACAACUGCCUCUUGCAAUUCCUAUAUGGCAACCCGUGACUCAUGCUGAAAUCGCUGAGCUUAUCUCAGAACUUAAGUCAGGCAAAGCCCCUGGCCCCGAUGCUAUUUUGCUAAAAUUUAAUCCCGACUGGUGGAUUCCUCUUUUGGCAACACUUUUCACCCAUAUUAAUUCCUCUGGUAGGAUUCUUACUUCUUGGAGUCUAGCAAUUAUUAUUCCAGUUUUAAAACGAGGAAACAGGAACAACCCUACCGAUUAUCGCCCUAUAAGCCUGCUUUCCAUCAUUGGGAAAUUGUAUGCUAAAUAUCUUCAAUGUAGACUCCUCAUUUGGGUGUCUAACAUUAUUGGUGCAGAGCAGAUUGGGUUUAAAGUGGGCUGUGCCACAUUGGACCAUUGUUUUGUCUUAGCACACCUGGUUGACAAAUAUGCUAUUACACUAGGUGGCAAACUCUUCACUGUUUUUAUCAAUUUAAAGGCAGUGUUUGACUCAGUCCUUAGGGAACUGUUGUGGUCAAAAUUGCACAAAAGUUCUAUUGACAGACAUCUUUUGUUCUUAAUCAGAUCUUUGUAUAAUCAGACCUCUAGCCAGGUUAGGUGCGGCUUGCAGGGAGAACUUUCAAAUCCUAUCCCGAUUGAGAGCGGAGUUAGGCAGGGCUGUCUCCUGGCCCCUCUUCUGUUUAAUUUAUUCUUAUCUGACCUGGCUUCUUACAUUGUACGCAUUGAGUCCCAUGCCCCAAAGUUGUCAAAUAUGAAGAUUCCGCUUCUUUAUGCUGAUGAUGUGGUCCUUCUAUCACAAUCAAGGCUCGGUCUAAAAAGAUUUAAAAAAGAGCCGAGGUGGCGCAGCAGUUAGAGUGCAGUACUGCAGGCCACUUUAGCUGACUGUGUUCAGCAGGUCAUCAGUUCAAAUCUCACCGGC
This is an RNA transcript of Crotalus tigris (Tiger rattlesnake), 6905 nucleotides long. It is a transcript of the gene named pancreatic alpha-amylase-like, with no coding region annotated. Lineage: Eukaryota; Metazoa; Chordata; Lepidosauria; Squamata; Viperidae. The record is from RefSeq and is a predicted model, not a curated record. The transcript has 12 exons.